Molecule: non-coding RNA, 145 nt
Organism: Gossypium hirsutum (cotton)
Lineage: Eukaryota; Viridiplantae; Streptophyta; Magnoliopsida; Malvales; Malvaceae
Source: Rfam
UGUUAAAAAUUUCAUCCAUUUCUAUUGUUAAAAUUCGACAUGACUGACAAAACAAUUAGACAGUUACACUUGACAUGUUAAGUGUACCUUAUACUGACAUAUAAGGACCAAUUUUUAAUAGUAAAAAUAGAUAAAAUUUUUAACA